RNAcentral lists this ribosomal RNA (1430 nucleotides) under uncultured bacterium. Its description in RNAcentral is "16S ribosomal RNA". It matches the Rfam family "Bacterial small subunit ribosomal RNA". The record is from RNAcentral.
GCUCAGAUUGAACGCUGGCGGCAGGCCUAACACAUGCAAGUCGAACGGUAACAGGAAGCAGCUUGCUGCUUCGCUGACGAGUGGCGGACGGGUGAGUAAUGUCUGGGAAACUGCCUGAUGGAGGGGGAUAACUACUGGAAACGGUAGCUAAUACCGCAUAACGUCGCAAGACCAAAGAGGGGGACCUUAGGGCCUCUUGCCAUCGGAUGUGCCCAGAUGGGAUUAGCUAGUAGGUGGGGUAACGGCUCACCUAGGCGACGAUCCCUAGCUGGUCUGAGAGGAUGACCAGCCACACUGGAACUGAGACACGGUCCAGACUCCUACGGGAGGCAGCAGUGGGGAAUAUUGCACAAUGGGCGCAAGCCUGAUGCAGCCAUGCCGCGUGUAUGAAGAAGGCCUUCGGGUUGUAAAGUACUUUCAGCGGGGAGGAAGGGAGUAAAGUUAAUACCUUUGCUCAUUGACGUUACCCGCAGAAGAAGCACCGGCUAACUCCGUGCCAGCAGCCGCGGUAAUACGGAGGGUGCAAGCGUUAAUCGGAAUUACUGGGCGUAAAGCGCACGCAGGCGGUUUGUUAAGUCAGAUGUGAAAUCCCCGGGCUCAACCUGGGAACUGCAUCUGAUACUGGCAAGCUUGAGUCUCGUAGAGGGGGGUAGAAUUCCAGGUGUAGCGGUGAAAUGCGUAGAGAUCUGGAGGAAUACCGGUGGCGAAGGCGGCCCCCUGGACGAAGACUGACGCUCAGGUGCGAAAGCGUGGGGAGCAAACAAGAUUAGAUACCCUGGUAGUCCACGCCGUAAACGAUGUCGACUUGGAGGUUGUGCCCUUGAGGCGUGGCUUCCGGAGCUAACGCGUUAAGUCGACCGCCUGGGGGGUACGGCCGCAAGGUUAAAACUCAAAUGAAUUGACGGGGGCCCGCACAAGCGGUGGAGCAUGUGGUUUAAUUCGAUGCAACGCGAAGAACCUUACCUGGUCUUGACAUCCACGGAAGUUUUCAGAGAUGAGAAUGUGCCUUCGGGAACCGUGAGACAGGUGCUGCAUGGCUGUCGUCAGCUCGUGUUGUGAAAUGUUGGGUUAAGUCCCGCAACGAGCGCAACCCUUAUCCUUUGUUGCCAGCGGUCCGGCCGGGAACUCAAAGGAGACUGCCAGUGAUAAACUGGAGGAAGGUGGGGAUGACGUCAAGUCAUCAUGGCCCUUACGACCAGGGCUACACACGUGCUACAAUGGCGCAUACAAAGAGAAGCGACCUCGCGAGAGCAAGCGGACCUCAUAAAGUGCGUCGUAGUCCGGAUUGGAGUCUGCAACUCGACUCCAUGAAGUCGGAAUCGCUAGUAAUCGUGGAUCAGAAUGCCACGGUGAAUACGUUCCCGGGCCUUGUACACACCGCCCGUCACACCAUGGGAGUGGGUUGCAAAAGAAGUAGGUAGCUUAACCUU